UUAAACGGUCAUCUCAACAAAUUAAAAUAUAUAUCCCCGAAUAUAAGGUUGGAAGCUAAUUUAAGCUUAGGAUUGAAGAAAUUACUUUAAUGAGCAGGACGUGCACGGAUGGAGAGCAGUUUGCAAGGGUUAAUUUGGUGCGGGUGAGGGUUGUAAUUUUGGCAGGAAGGAAAAACCCCGCGAAAGCCCAAAAAGGAUUCGAGCGGCGUCUGUACUCUGAAGUUUUCUUUGAAGCGUUCAUUUCCGCGAGCAUCCAUCGGAGAAUCGAGGAGGAAAAGACAAUGAGAAUGAGUGGUAAUAGGAUUGCUCAUACGUUCCUACAUCGCGCUCGGUUGCGAGCCACUUCCUCUUCAAUUUCCUCCGUCGAAAGGCCGUCUUCUGCAGCUUUUUGCGCCGAGUCAAGGUCUUUUCGAAGUUCUUGCUCUUCUUCAUCUCGUCAUGUUGAUUUCCAUCGCCAGCAUGCAUUUGCACUUUCUCCCACCGCAAUCCUACGGUUAUUCAGUACCAAUUCCACUAAACACUUUGAAGAUGAAGUGAGAGAACAAAUUCCACUCCAAUAUGAGAAGGAUGAAGGGGGAGAAACCACAGAUGGAUGGGAAGAUGACGAUGAUAUGGAGCCUGAGAUUGGUGAUGGAGGGGGUGGUGGUGGUGUUGUUUUGCAAGGCGUGCCUUGGGGUGAACAUGUUCUCUCUCUUGCUCAUGAGGUCCUGCUGCAAUUUGGCGAUGACAUAAAACUCUAUUCCUUUAAGACUACUCCCCGUGGAUAUAUCUAUGUCAGAUUAGACAAGCUCUCAAACGAAUUUGGGUGUCCAAGCUUGGAGGAUCUUGAAAGUUAUACCCAAGAGUACAAGAAAAGAUUAGGUGCAACUGGGGCACUGGGAAAGAUUCCCGAUGAUUUAGCUCUUGAGGUAUCAUCUCCAGGUGCAGAGAGAUUACUGAAGGUCCCAGAUGAUCUGUUUAGAUUUAAAGCCAUGCCAAUGCAAGUUUCCUAUUUAGAAGAUGUAGUCCCGGGAGGCACUGAAAAUGAUGGAGUUUUUAUUUUGGAUCACGUGGAAACGGAAUCUAAGAGCUGUGUCUGGAAAUUGGCAAACGUAAGGGAAAAUCGAGAUCCUUUAAGCAAGGGUAGGCCGUUGACUCGUAAGCAGAAAGAAUGGAGGUUAGAAUUACCCUAUGCAAAUCAUAAGAAGGUAUUCCUUUACCUUGAAUGCUGAAAAAUAGCACCUCAGGGUCCUAAAGAAAGGAUGCGUAUUCUGUGUACUUAUGAGGAUGCAUUGAAACAGAGGUAGAGCCAAGAUAUGUAGGGCAAUCAAAAGGAGAUGUCCAUGUUGCCAUGCUGGGCAGGCCCCCUGGCUGUGGAGAUAGAUAACCCAUUAUGGAUCAGUGGACCACUGAGUUGUUUUAUUAUUUCUUAUAAAGAAAUUCAUGUUGGUAUCAUGUGCAUUGGACACACCAUUUUCACUAAUUGACAAAAACCGUAUUAGGUCAUCCAACCCCAUUUAAGCGUAGUCAUUCUGGUUCCUGCAUGAACAGGUCUCUUUCAUGACUACCUACUUCUGUACAUUUUGCACCUCUUCUCAAUAAAGAGUUGCCUGACGUCAUAAGAAAACAACUUGGGAAAUUUUAUUGCUGUUCAUAUUUCCAAUGUGGCUUAUUCUUGGCUUGUUUUGUUAGGGUUGCAGGACCAAGCUUCCUCUGAUAAGGAAAUAUCUAGCAAACUGUAGAUGCUUUCUGAGAAUUCUUUUGGGGGAGGGGGGGAAAAAGAAUUCAUGUGAUUGGUAAAGGUGCUUGUUUUCUGUUGUUGUGGUGUGCCAUUUCGGUGGUGGUGAUAUAUUUUGCUCAGAAAUCUAAUAAAGGGGUAGAAAGUAGAAAGUAGAAAGCAGAAAGAGAGGUUGAUAAAUUGGGAUUCUUUUCUGACAGCUCGUUCCUCUUUAUCCACUCAUGAAACUAGCGAGGUCUUGGGAAAAAAAAAA
This is a non-coding RNA of Momordica charantia (bitter melon), 1970 nucleotides long. NCBI's taxonomy places the organism in Eukaryota, Viridiplantae, Streptophyta, Magnoliopsida, Cucurbitales, Cucurbitaceae. The record is from RefSeq and is a predicted model, not a curated record.